GUAUAAGGUUUAUUGGACAGUCAAGUCCGAUAAUAACAUUCGUAGACAUGCAAAUGGUGUAUAUGAAGACAUAGACCGGAAAUGUAAGGAAAGCCGGCUUUGACGCACAGCAGUCCUCAUACCGAGUUUCCUCGAGAGAUAUCCAAGUCUACAAAAGGUGCACAGGUGGUAAGAAGAUUGGUGUUAGGCGUGCACAUGCCCCUAAGAGCCAGCAACAACCCAACCAAGCUUAUUCAAUAAUGAUCCUUCCGCAGGUUCACCUACGGAAA
This 269-nucleotide unclassified non-coding RNA is filed under the name uncultured fungus. RNAcentral's name for it is "sequence contains ITS1". Lineage: Eukaryota; Fungi. The record is from RNAcentral.